This 407-nucleotide ribosomal RNA is filed under the name uncultured bacterium. Its description in RNAcentral is "partial 16S ribosomal RNA". It matches the Rfam family "Bacterial small subunit ribosomal RNA", at positions 30 to 526 of the family's 1533-position model. The record is from RNAcentral.
AUUGAACGCUAGCGGGAUGCCUUACACAUGCAAGUCGAACGGAGUGGCGAACGGGUGCGUAAUGUAUCGGCACGUGCCCAGUAGCGGGGGAUCACUACGCUAAAGCGUAGCUAAUACCGCAUCCCAUUGGAGCGGCCGAUAUCGGAUUAGCUAGUGGGUGGGGUAACGGAUCACCAAGGCGACGAUCCGUAGCUGGUUUGAGAGGACGACCAGCCACACUGGGACUGAGACACGGCCCAGACUCCUACGGGAGGCAGCAGUGGGGAAUGUUGGACAAGGGGCGAAACCCUGAUCCAGCCAUCCCGCGUGUGCGAUGAAGGCCUUCGGGUUGUAAAGCACUUUUGGCAGGAAAGCGGUACCUGCAGAAUAAGCACCGGCUAACUACGUGCCAGCAGCCGCGGUAAUAC